GUGGGGAAUCUUCCGCAAUGGACGAAAGUCUGACGGAGCGACGCCGCGUGAGUGAUGAAGGCCCUUGGGUCGUAAAGCUCUGUCAUCAGGGACGAACGGUCACGUCAGGAAAUGGGCGUGAAUUGACGGUACCUGAGAAGGAAGCCACGGCUAACUACGUGCCAGCAGCCGCGGUAAUACGUAGGUGGCGAGCGUUGUCCGGAAUUAUUGGGCGUAAAGCGCGCGCAGGUGGGAUCUUAAGUCUGUUCUGAAAGUUCGGAGCUUAACUCCGUGAUGGGAUGGAAACUGGGAUUCUUGAGUAUCGGAGAGGAAAGCGGAAUUCCCCGUGUAGCGGUGAAAUGCGUAGAUAUGGGGAGGAACACCAGUGGCGAAGGCGGCUUUCUGGACGAUGUCUGACACUGAGGCGCGAAAGCCAGGGGAGCGAACGGGAUUAGAAACCCUGGUAGUCC
This 449-nucleotide ribosomal RNA is filed under the name uncultured bacterium. RNAcentral describes it as "partial 16S ribosomal RNA". It matches the Rfam family "Bacterial small subunit ribosomal RNA", at positions 354 to 796 of the family's 1533-position model. The record is from RNAcentral.